AUGAAGACUGAACAGGAAGUGCCACAAGUUCCAGUGGAUGCUGAAAUGAAAAUGAUCCUUCCUGACAAAAGUCUCCACCAUUACACCAGUAAACAAUUAGGUUCCCAAUCUGUUCCAAAUACGGAUCCAGCAGAAAAACCAGUGCUGGCUGCCUUCAUGCCCAAAGUUCAUCUGCACAGAUUACAGCUCCAGCAGCCGUCAGUCACUGAUUGUGUUUUCAGUGAGAGGAAGAAUGUGGAGCAGCUGCUCCCAGAGCGUCUCCACAUAAAGGAGGAACCAGAGACGUUCAGUGAAGGUCAGGAGGAAAAGCAGCUUUGUGUGCAGCAGGAGACAAACAGUGCUGCUUGUCCUGUUAAAUGUGAAGAUGAAGAUGAAGAGGAGAAGCCUCAGGCCUCCCAGCUCCACUGGAGACCACAAACACAAAUGAACAUGAAGGAGGAACCUUCAACCUGCACUUUAAAUGGAUUAAUGACAAGACAAAGUGUGGGAAUGAACAGCAAAGGACCAGAAACAGCCCAGAACCCAGAUCAUAGCAGUUUAGUUCUACAAGGUCCUGAUGGAACAGAAACAGACUUGUCUCAGACUGAACAUAAUAGUGAUGAUGAUGAUGAUGAAGACUCUGAUUGUUGGCUGAAACCUGUGUCAGAGUCUGAAACUGAAGCUGAAACUGAAGCUGACUUUGACUUCACUAGGAAAAAGGCAAAAAUGUGUGACUCAAGUAAAAAUGCUGAAAUGGUAUGUAAAGCUUCUAAAACACACAUUAGUUCAUUUCAACAGAUUUGUUCAAAGAAGAAGGUUCAGGUAAAAAUAACAUCUGAAUGUGUGGGUGGUGAGAAAGCAUCACUCAGUUCAGCUUCAAAACUGAAAAACCACACAGUACAGAAACCCAUUCUGUGUGAUAUUUGUGGAAAAUGUUUUAACCAAAAGGCUUCACUGAAAGCACACAUGAGAAUCCACACAGGAGAGAAACCAUUCAAAUGUGAUGUUUGUAGUAAAUGUUUUCAUCACCUUCACAAACAUAAUCUACUUCUGAGAAAAAACUAG
This 1044-nucleotide long non-coding RNA is filed under the name Gouania willdenowi (blunt-snouted clingfish). RNAcentral's name for it is "lncRNA (ENSGWIG00000016435.1)". Lineage: Eukaryota; Metazoa; Chordata; Actinopteri; Blenniiformes; Gobiesocidae. The record is from RNAcentral.